GUCCUAUGCUAGACUGUAAACCACAGUCCCUUAAUUCAGAUGACCUCAAGGCUUGACCAGAGAGUACUCAGCUGCUUCUUCUGGUUACCUUUUCAUGCUGGCUUGUCCUUAAUAUAGUUAAUGCUCCCCAGAUGUAUCAACUGCCUGUUCUUUUUAACCCUUGCUGGUCUCACAUGCAGCUCUGGCUGCUUUUCUCAGACACAGGGGAAAAUAAAAUAUAAUAAACUUCCCAUGUGACAUCAUCCAGCUUCAACAAAAUGAUUUGUAUACCCUUUCCCAUAUCCACCUUCCCAAAUUAUUUUGAGGGCAAAUUCCAGGCAGCAGUUUAUUUUGUGAAUGAACAUUUCAGUAUGUAACUCUAAAGGAAAAUGAUUAUUUUUCUUUUUAUAUAACACAAUGUCAUGAUUGCAUUUUUUAAAAUUAAUAAUUCCUGAAUAUCAUCAAAUUUUAAGUCAUUGUUCAACUUCCUAAUUAUCUCUUUAGUGUCACACAUUUUUCUAGUUUGAAUCAGGAUCCAAACAAGGUCCACAUGUAAUUAUUGGUUAAUAUAUUCCUUUUAAAUUUCUUUUCACCUUUUGGUUCUGCCCCCAUCUUUUUUUUCUCUGUAAUUUACUUGCUGAAGAAAUGUGAUUGUUUGCACUGUAGGAUUUUGCUGAUUACAUCCCCAUAGUAUAGUUUUCAAGUACUGCUUUCCUCUGAAUUUUUUUGUAAAUUAGUCAUUAAAUCUGAAGGAUUGACCAGAUUCUGGCUUGAUUUUCUGAGAAGACUUUAUUUAUUUAUUUUUUAAGGCACUGCUUUGUUCUUCCAUUAGGGAACAUCUAAUUUCUGGUUAUCUUUUUCUUUUUGAUAUUAGCAAAAACUCAAUACCUAGAUCCAUUACUUAGGUUACAAGAGAGUGAUAGUCCAAUUCUAUGAUCUCUUUUUCAUUUAUUUGCUGAAGUACCACAGUAAAGAAAAUCUUACCCCUACUUCUUUUUAACUACCCAGUUGCUCUUUAUGAGUUUUCAAAAUAAUGAGUUGGUUCACUAGUGUCUUUCAAUUGCUGACCAAUUUUUUUUAAGUAUCAUUAGGAACUCGUAGAUUUAAACUUCUUUGAUAUAUUUCAAUCUAUUAAAGUUUUUUUCCCUCAUUGAUCUUCUUACUGUCUUGUCUUUGUCAGUCUCUGCUAGUUGAUUUCCAAAUCUUUGACUUAAAUCUAGUAAUCUUUGCUAGCUUCCUUAUUAUCUGAUGUGACAAGAGUUUUACAAUAUGAUCUGUAUGUUUCCUGUCCUCAACUCACAAUUAGUCAUUUCUCCAAGGAGUUCUGUAUCCUUUCAGAAGGAAAUUAGAUUUCAACACCAAAUUCAAGGUGCUGGAAGUACUCAUUGCUACUGGAUGCAUAAGUAUUUAUGGGACUUAGUUGAAAAAAAAAAGUUUUUUUUUCAAGCUGAAAAUAUCAUUGCUUUAUAUUGAUACUUCACAUUCAGGAUUAAAAUGUAUUUAUUCGGUCUCCUUUCUGACAUCCAUUUUUUCUUUCUUUCUGGCCAAAAAAACUUGCUUGUGAAAGACAUUGGAUAAUAGGAUUAUAAUAUCACAGAAUUAUAUUUUAUACACAGUUUUUAAUUGCAAUACCAUCACUACCAAAACAAUUACUGAAAAUUGUUUUAGUUUUUCCAGCAAUUUUUGUCCUUAGAGCAUAUACUGUUAUGGAAGUAUAGCCAAAAACUGCCUUUUAAGUUACUUUGACUAGUUUCUGUGUGAUUAUGCCAGCAACUAGUUACCCAUUUAGAUGCAUUUAUCUCAUUUUAAUUUCAGUUUUAGAGAUUAUGUACUAUAUAUUUCUUUCCUUAUUGCCAUAUUACUACAUGGUAAUUCUUAUCACCAGUCCUUAAAUUGAUAUAUCUUCAGUCAUUUAAGUUAUCUAAAGAUUAUUCUCUAGUAGCUACCUCAGGAAUUACUCAUGGGAUAUUAAAAAGAGUUUAACUUUAUAUUUGGAAAACGCUUCAUCUGAAUAUAAAAUACUUGGUUCAAAUUUUAUUUUUUGAUUUAUCCCAGAGGCAUAAAAUUUUGCUAUUGAAAAUUCUUAACAAUUUGAUUUUUCUUUCGCUUACAGGUGACUUUGACUUGUGUAGAUGUCAAAAGAAUUUACUCACUUUCUUGAAUGAACAAUAAUUUCGUUAGAUUUUUCUCAGUGUUCUCAGCCUAUUUUCCCAGGUGUAUAUAAUAUAUAGUAUGCCUUUUCACAUGUACUUUCAGAAUAUCUAUCUAUCUAUAUCCUUAAUUUUAGGAAAGUUUUCUUUAAUUAUUGACUUUUAAAAUAUCUCUUUUGUUUUCUUCAUUGGAGACUUUUUAUAUAGGUGUUGUUUCUUCUUUUCCCUGUUUUGUUUUGUUUUGUUUUUUUAGGGCUGCAGGUGCAGCACAUGGAAGUUCCAGGGCUAAGAAUCAAAUCAGAGCUGCAGCUGCCAGCCACAGCCACAGCAAUAGCAGGUCCAAGCCACAUCUGCGACCUACACCACUGCUCGCAGCAACACCAGAUCCUUGCCCACUGAGUGGGGCCAGGGAUCAAACCCACUUCCUCAUGGAUACUAGUUAGGUUCAUUUCCACUGAGCCACAACUGGAACUCCUGUUUCUUCUUUUUCUAUCUUCUGUUAGGCUAGAUGUAGCAGAGAUUUCCAGAGGGCUGAUAUCUGAAUUGCACCUAUAAAAGGCCCAACUUGGAGGGAGAAGUAAAAUUUUAGAGAACGUAGUCUAAGAAUAGAAGUGUUUAACAACCAGGCAAGUUGAACGCAUAUCCUCUAUGAUUCAAACAACGAAUAGGCUGCCUAUUUCCCACUAAUCUUAUGUUCUCUUAUUUUAUUAAGUGACCAAAAAAAAAUAAGAAAUUACUUGAAAUUUACAAUCCAAUUUGAGAUUAUGCAUUUUCCAAGGUAAAGUUUACAAAACAGUCCCAGGAAAAACUACUUAUGAUUUUUUGCUAGCCAAAAUUUUGUUUUCCCUAAGAGCUAUGUUUCAUUUUCUUGAUGAAAGUCAUCAUAAGUAGGGCUUCUAUUUCCCCCUGGCUACUAAGAAUCUGAGACAAAUUGUACUCAGUCUUGCAAUAAUAAACAUAAUUAUGCAGAGAUCCUUAUUGUAUGCAUGUAUUCUUUAACUUGGUCCCAACUUUUACUUCAAAAGUUUUAAACUUUGGUAUCAAAGUACAAGCUUGCAGAGAAAUUGCAGAGAAAUUAAUACAAAUUUAAUUUGAAUGUGCUUUUUUUUCUGGGAUAGUCUGGACACUUCAUCAGAUUGAUUCUAAAAGGCUAUCUAUGAUGUUAAAAAUACUACUGUUCUUAUAUUAAUUAUUUCAUUUUAUUUACAAAACAGAAGCUUCUGUUCUAGUUUAAUUUUAAAACCUCAGUGACAUAUAAAGAUGAAUGAUUUGGAGUACCCCCUGUGGUGCAGUACAUUAAGGAUCUGGUGUUGUCUCUGCAGUGGCACAGGUUCGAUCACCAGCUCAGUGCAAUAGGUUAAAGAUCCUGCAUUGCCACAACUUUGGCAUAGUUUGCAGCUGUGGCUCAGAUUCGACCCCUGGCCAAGGAACUUCCAUAUGCCAUGGGUGCCAUUCCCCCCAAAAAAUGAAUUGUUUACUUUUGGAAUCAUACUAAGCUUUUUUUUUUUUAAUGUUGACAAAAUAUAAUUAGUAAUGAACUAACAAAUUUACAGUGCAGACCCCAAUCACAGGAAAGUCAGGUCAUGCCAUUUACAAAGGGGGAAAAAAAGCCUUUUUUAAAAAAAAAAUUAUCAACUGGGUUCACUAACUUGAAAGAAGGCUGGCAUAGCAUAUGAUCAUUCUAAAUAGCUUCCUCUUUAAAAUAGGUUGUGACACAAACUGCUUCAAUAAAGUCACUUAUUUUUACAUAAGCUAGUUUCACUUUCUUCUUUAAGUUUCUAUUCCUCCUACCAUUGUGUUUUCUUGGAUUUACGUGGGUACAUAUCUUGCAGUCUUUUGGUGUACAUUUAUCAAAUGGUCAUAGGCUUGUUACCAUACAUCAGAUGCCUCUGAAGAAAUGCUUCCAUCUGCUUAACCAGGAAUUAAGUUUUGUGAAUAGUUCCCUGCUUGAUGCAUAAACACAAGAUAUUGUAAGAUAAGAGUGUGUUAUAUAAUUAAAAAUAAUACUAAAAUUUUAUUAAUAUAUCUAUUUCAGUAGAGUGAAAAGGUAUAACCCUGCAUGGAGCAUUUGUUAAAUCAAAGGUGACCAAACUUGGGAAGAAAAAAUUAAGCUUAUAUUUGGGAAUCUAAAGUAUCUCAAUUAAAUGUGUAAUUGAAUAGAAUCACUUAUUUAGAAUGCAUUCAUUUU
This 4317-nucleotide long non-coding RNA is filed under the name Sus scrofa (pig). RNAcentral's name for it is "lncRNA (ENSSSCG00065041516.1)". Lineage: Eukaryota; Metazoa; Chordata; Mammalia; Artiodactyla; Suidae. The record is from RNAcentral.